AUUGAACGCUGGCGGCAUGCUUUACACAUGCAAGUCGAACGGGGUGAGGGGGCAACCUCUCAUCUAGUGGCGAACGGGUGAGUAAUGCAUCGGAACGUGUCCCGUAGUGGGGGAUAACCCGGCGAAAGCCGGACUAAUACCGCAUAUGCUCUACGGAGGAAAGUGGGGGACCAGUAAUGGCCUCACGCUAUGGGAGCGGCCGAUGUCCGAUUAGCUUGUUGGUGAGGUAAUGGCUCACCAAGGCGACGAUCGGUAGCUGGUCUGAGAGGAUGAUCAGCCACACUGGGACUGAGACACGGCCCAGACUCCUACGGGAGGCAGCAGUGGGGAAUUUUGGACAAUGGGGGCAACCCUGAUCCAGCCAUGCCGCGUGCGGGAAGAAGGCCUGG
Molecule: ribosomal RNA, 389 nt
Filed under: uncultured bacterium
Lineage: Bacteria
Description: bacterial SSU rRNA
Rfam family: Bacterial small subunit ribosomal RNA
Source: RNAcentral